GCCCUGCUGUGCGCGUGGUAGCCCGAUAAGUUUUGAGCCAACACCAAUACACUGGGAGUCCGGAGUCCGACCGUGGCGCACAUGCCCCGGGCAGUGACGCUGGGGACGUGUAAAGCGGCCGGCAGGACACCCACCUGCGUGAGCGCGGGUUCAAAACAUCGGUUAACACGGCAUGGUAGGGC
RNAcentral lists this non-coding RNA (182 nucleotides) under marine sediment metagenome. RNAcentral's name for it is "6S / SsrS RNA". It matches the Rfam family "6S / SsrS RNA". Rfam says of the family: E. coli 6S RNA was the first non coding RNA to be sequenced, but its function was unknown until recently. It consists of 184 nucleotides that fold into an extended hairpin structure with a large single-stranded internal bulge. The 6S RNA specifically associates with RNA polymerase holoenzyme containing the sigma70 specificity factor. RNAcentral also lists the same sequence under 1 other name. The record is from RNAcentral.